Molecule: ribosomal RNA, 230 nt
Filed under: uncultured bacterium
Lineage: Bacteria
Description: partial 16S ribosomal RNA
Rfam family: Bacterial small subunit ribosomal RNA
Source: RNAcentral
UACAGAGGUCCCAAGCGUUGUUCGGAUUCACUGGGCGUAAAGCGUGCGCAGGCGGUUUUGUAAGUCUGUCGUGAAAUCCCCGGGCUCAACCUGGGAAUUGCGAUGGAGACUGCAAGGCUAGAAUCUGGCAGAGGGGGGUGAGAAUUCCACGUGUGAGCAGUGAAAUGCGUAGAGAUGUGGAGGAACACCGAUGGCGAAGGCAGCCCCCUGGGUCAAGAUUGACGCUCAUG